CUGGGAGGACCAUCUCCUAAGGCUAAAUACUCUCUAGUGACCGAUAGUGAACCAGUACCGUGAGGGAAAGGUGAAAAGCACCCCGGAAGGGGAGUGAAAUAGAACCUGAAACCGUGUGCUUACAAGUAGUCAGAGCCCGUUAAUGGGUGAUGGCGUGCCUUUUGUAGAAUGAACCGGCGAGUUACGAUUUGAUGCAAGGUUAAGCAGUAAAUGUGGAGCCGUAGCGAAAGCGAGUCUGAAUAGGGCGUUUAGUAUUUGGUCGUAGACCCGAAACCAGGUGAUCUACCCUUGGUCAGGUUGAAGUUCAGGUAACACUGAAUGGAGGACCGAACCGACUUACGUUGAAAAGUGAGCGGAUGAACUGAGGGUAGCGGAGAAAUUCCAAUCGAACCUGGAGAUAGCUGGUUCUCUCCGAAAUAGCUUUAGGGCUAGCCUCAAGUGAUGAUUAUUGGAGGUAGAGCACUGUUUGGACGAGGGGCCCCUCUCGGGUUACCGAAUUCAGACAAACUCCGAAUGCCAAUUAAUUUAACUUGGGAGUCAGAACAUGGGUGAUAAGGUCCGUGUUCGAAAGGGAAACAGCCCAGACCACCAGCUAAGGUCCCAAAAUAUAUGUUAAGUGGAAAAGGAUGUGGCGUUGCCCAGACAACUAGGAUGUUGGCUUAGAAGCAGCCAUCAUUUAAAGAGUGCGUAAUAGCUCACUAGUCGAGUGACACUGCGCCGAAAAUGUACCGGGGCUAAACAUAUUACCGAAGCUGUGGAUUGUCCUUUGGACAAUGGUAGGAGAGCGUUCUAAGGGCGUUGAAGCAUGAUCGUAAGGACAUGUGGAGCGCUUAGAAGUGAGAAUGCCGGUGUGAGUAGCGAAAGACGGGUGAGAAUCCCGUCCACCGAUUGACUAAGGUUUCCAGAGGAAGGCUCGUCCGCUCUGGGUUAGUCGGGUCCUAAGCUGAGGCCGACAGGCGUAGGCGAUGGAUAACAGGUUGAUAUUCCUGUACCACCU
RNAcentral lists this ribosomal RNA (997 nucleotides) under Staphylococcus aureus. RNAcentral's name for it is "partial 23S ribosomal RNA". It matches the Rfam family "Bacterial large subunit ribosomal RNA", at positions 444 to 1449 of the family's 2925-position model. The record is from RNAcentral. Lineage: Bacteria; Bacillati; Bacillota; Bacilli; Caryophanales; Staphylococcaceae.